Molecule: ribosomal RNA, 468 nt
Filed under: uncultured bacterium
Lineage: Bacteria
Description: partial 16S ribosomal RNA
Rfam family: Bacterial small subunit ribosomal RNA
Source: RNAcentral
GAUGAACGCUGGCGGCGUGCUUAACACAUGCAAGUCGAACGGAAAGGCCAGUGCUUGCACUGGUACUCGAGUGGCGAACGGGUGAGUAACACGUGGGUGAUCUGCCCUGCACUUCGGGAUAAGCCUGGGAAACUGGGUCUAAUACCGGAUAGGACAAUGGUUUGGAUGCCGUUGUGGAAAGUUUUUUCGGUGUGGGAUGAGCUCGCGGCCUAUCAGCUUGUUGGUGGGGUAAUGGCCUACCAAGGCGUCGACGGGUAGCCGGCCUGAGAGGGUGUACGGCCACAUUGGGACUGAGAUACGGCCCAGACUCCUACGGGAGGCAGCAGUGGGGAAUAUUGCACAAUGGGCGCAAGCCUGAUGCAGCGACGCCGCGUGGGGGAUGACGGCCUUCGGGUUGUAAACUCCUUUCGCUAGGGACGAAGCGUAUUUGUGACAGUACCUGGAGAAGAAGCACCGGCUAACUACGUG